AUAUUAAGUAACCUUUAAUUUGUAGAAUAUUACAAAGAAUGCUAUUGGUAAUUUUUAAAUCAAAGAGUAAAUUAAAAAAAUUGGAUAAGGUUAAAGUGGACAAAUUGAUCGGAUACAUAACGUGGAUCUUGGGUUUGUUUUCGGAUAAAACGCGGACCCUAUCCAGCGUUAUACGGUCUGGGACGCGGAUCCUCGAUUUGACCCGUUUGGGUAACAAAUCAUUAAGAUUUUACUCCGAUAAUAUUCUCUUGUGCUGUUACACAAAAUAAUUUCGAAAAUCAUUAAGACAGUUGCCAAAACAAUCAACAGAAAAUCAACGCAAAAUAAUUGCCAAAUUAAAUCACCAAAUAUAAGGAACAUAACCAAUUUUGUAGGAACUGUUUUCAAUAAGAUCUAAUCUCAUUUAUUAUAUUUGCCUAAUUUCAAAAGUAUAAAAUAUUAUAUUCCUAUCAAAUGAAGCAUCUACAUAUACAUUUUUACAGGGGAUUUUUGCAAAAAGUCUUUUGGAUCCGGGUUUUACCCGGGUUUAACUCUAUUCGGAUCUAGAAUAAGAAAUUUAAGGAAGUUUGUAAUAAAAACGACAUUAAUUAUUAAUUAACACCUAAAUUAGAAAUAUAUAUAAUAUAUCUAAACUAACCAUAUUUGUUAUUUACCUUAACUACUUCUAACCAUAAUUAUUUAACUAUUUAUUUCUAUAUGGAAAGAAUAUGUGAUUAAAAUAAAUAUUUUGUAAAAGAUUGAUUUGGGGAAAAAUUGUUAUUACGAAAAUAAUUUGUUUUGUUAUAAAAAUUAAUAUUUGUUAUUUGUAAUUAAAUUACAUAAAUAGUAAUAAUAAUUUGUCUACACCAUCAAAUGAAAAUAGUUAGUUAUUUAUUUUUUUAUUUAAUAUUACGUCAUUUUUAAAAAAUAAAUUCAACAAUAUAAUGUCAAUGAGUUUAAUUCUAAAGAUUUGAAAAUAUUAAAAAGAUACUAACCAAACAUUAUCUAUCCUAAUUUGUUUCUAACAAUUUCGACACAAAUCUUUCGAAAAUUUAAUGUGAUCACAGUUUGUUACUAAAAUCUCGAUUAUAUGCCUAAAAUCUCGAGAAGAUCUUCCUUUAAAUCCGCAAAUUAUAAUUUUUGAAUUAAAUAAACUAACAAUACGAAUAUUCCUAAUAUAUUCGAGUACUAAUAAUCCUUAUUAUAGUAUAUUCCUUAUCUAAAUACUAAAUCUUUUAUUUUUAAUUCUAAUCAAAAUUUAUGAAAUCGGAAAUCAAUUAUGAUUUCUUAAACAUCCUUAAAUUUCGAAAUAAUCAACAAUUCGAAUAUGCUGAAAAAUCAUAACGAAAUAUCUUUAUUUACUUAAAUGUUUUAGUAAUCGUUAUAGCAAAAAAAUCAAUUCCAGCGCUAUUGGUUCUUUAAACUUUUUGAUUUACAUAGAUAUUUUGUAUUCCAUAAUUAACUCAUUAAAUUCUUUGAUUUAAAUAACUACAAUGUGAAAAUUAGUAUAUGUAAUAAAUAUAACAUAUAAUAUUUACGAGAUUUUCAUAUACUUGAUCCCCAACCCAAAUUGACGAAUAUAUUAUUUCUCAUAAAAUAUCUUUAAAAGAUUUUUUUUUGUUUCGUUUAGAUAUUAUUCAACAAACUUCCUAAAACAAAUGGAAAUAUCUUUAAUUAGCUUUCCUCAUUCAUAAAUCCCACCAUGCAUAUAGACGUUAUUCAGUUGAUAAUACAAAAUUGAAUAUAUUAGGAAUCAAAUAUUUAAUUUUCCAAUAUUUGCAAAAUUGUUUUAAUUUUUAGAUCAAACCUAAACUUCUCGAGUACUUUUUAUUCAUCUAUAUAAAAAAGAUAUUUUCAACCAUUGAUCCACAAUACUAAACGUUUUCGUAAUAGAGAUUUAUAUGGCUUCUUUUAAACAAUGUUCUUAGUACAUUUUAUAUUUCACGUUUGUUUUCUUUUAAAAAAUUAAUUGUCACCUACUUUUCUUAUGUUGCAGCUUUCGAUUUUAAGAUCUUUGGAAAUUAUGGACAUCAUCAACUCCGUCUCCAAAGAAACUAUCAAAUAAGGUAUGCAUUAAAAGGUUAGUUAGUCCUUCUUCUUAUCUUCAGAUACGAAUUUUUUUUAAUGUCCAGUAUUUUUUUACAUUUUCAUAAUUUCAUGUUUCUUCAUAAUGUUUGUAAAUGAUUUUUUUUUAUAGGCUAACAUAACAAGUCCAUUCUAUUAAAAUCUUUUUCUUUAACGUAAAAAGGAAAUGAAUUUGUUAAUAAAAUAAAGUUCUUAUUCUUAAUUUUCAUUAUUCUAAUGUUAUGUAUUUUAAUUGUUUUUAUGAUAUAUACUUUUACUAAAACCUGUGGAUCCGAGUUUUGGUUGGUAAGUGUAAUUUUUCUAAUCUUUUAAAACCUUUUACAACAAUUACAUGUUUUAUAUGGUUAACAAUCACAUCAUAUAUAUUUUAUUUUCUUAUCCAAUGUAUUUCAUGUUUAAUGUUUUCUAAUAUUUUUUAUUGAAACUUUUAAAUAGUUUCAAAAUAUUAUAAACAUUUAAACUUUAUUAAAAGUAAAAUAUUAUAAUUAUUUAAACAUUUAAAAAAGUUUAUUUUUAUAAAACGUUUUAAAUAUUUAUAAUAUUAUGAAUUUUAUAAAGUUUCAAAUAUUAAAUAGUUGAAUUUUAUAAUAAUUUAUAAGAAAUUUAAACAUUAUAAAUAUUUACAAAAGAUAAUAAUCGGGACGGUAUAUUACGGGUGAAAUCCUAGAUAUAACAAUCAAAAUACUAUUAUGAAUUUUGGGUCGAUAUUAAAUGAAGUUUCGAAUAUUAGAAAUAUUUGAAUUUUAUUGGAAAAUGACAAAAUGAUGUAGAUUUCACGGGACAGAGUUAUAUGGUCGGACGGAUUUGGGGUGGAUAUUAAUACAGUAUGAUAUACUACAGGUGAAAUCCUAUAAUUAACAAUCAAAAUAUAACAAUACAAUCUUAAACACUAAACAAAACUAAACAAAUAAUAUUAACAAAACAAAUAAAACUUCAAAUUUUAAAUCUUUAGUUAUAAAAUAUCGUGUGUACCAUACAUUUAAAUCAAACAAAACAAUAGCAUAUAUCUAUAGAUCAUCUUAAAAAAAAAUUAAUUUUAUUAUUAUUUAAUAAAAUUAUAGACCCGCGGUGUACCGCGGGUUAAUAUCUAGUAUUCUAUUAAUGAUUCUAUUAAAUACGGUUACGCAAAUAUAUUUUCAUAUUUACAAAAGUAAACCCUAAAAAUGAGAGUUGUAUCUGUAAUAGUAUAUAUAGUAAACUCGAUAAUCAACUUUCAUAACACAAUCCUUCAAAUCUUAACUUCAUUAAUUUCUUCUUUUUUUUGGUCAAAAAAAUGGCUGCAAAUCUUCCUAUCACGGAACUUGCUAACGUGAAACCUUUUCAAAACAAUCGUUCACUCAUAGACUCAACACACUCAAUUCACACGAGAGACAAUGAAAAUGAUUCUUGCUACUGUUUCUGUAAGUAUUUUUAACUUUCUAACUUCAAACCUUUCAUAUUUAAAAAGGAUUAUUGUUUUGCUUACUACAAUUGUGAAUUUUGUAGGCUACUUUGAUUCAUGCUACUAUAAAUAAACAACAGAUGAACAAGCUGCAAAGGUUUAUCAACUCUGGAGAGUGGAGAUUUAUUAAAAAUUUACUCUCUCAAAAUCUAUGGGAAAGUACAGAGCUACCAAACAUGGUUGCAAAAUGUCCCUCAUGAACACUACUAUUAUCACUCGGUGUUCUUCUCUUUCAGAUGAUGUUUUCUUCGAUUUGCAAACUAUCAAGAUAUUUUGAAUGAAUCACGAUUGAAUGCGAAUAUCUUUAUAGGUUUUUUUAUGUUUAGUUAUAGCUUUAUCUUGCAUAUAAUUUUUUUUCCUUAUAUCUUUAUCUUGCAGGAUCUUCAUCGUUGUUAUGAUAUACUACUUUUGAUUAAACAUACAAAGACUAAUAUGAAUAAACAACAGUAUAAAAGUCACAUGAGGCACUAACCUUUUACAUAUAUAUUUCUGGAUAUCUCCAAUGAGGCAAUGACUAUAUAACUCUUCCCUUCUCCAUAUUUUUAUGUUAAUAGAAUCGAAUGCUUCACAUUAGAACAUUGAAUAUUGUUAUUAACAUGUUAAACUUUUUAAAGUAACUCAAUAACAGUAAGUAAAGCUGCAAAUCUGAGAAACAAAAGCGUAAGAAUUGAGAUUUCACCAACCUUUUACAUAUAUAUUUUCUUAUAGCUACACUGACAAAAUCAUAGAGCUUCUCCCAUAGUCUCAUUGUCUGUAUCGCAAAUCAUCCUUCACAUUAAAUCGUUAAUACACAGGCAAGGAUGAUUUUGUUUUAAAAUACAAGAUCAAAACAAUGUGCCAUAUAUAAAGUAACGUAUCUUAAGCUCAAUAAAACCAGGGAACUCUGCAAACAUAAUCAACAAAAUUUUAAAAAUUAAGAAUCUUACUAACCUUUGACACAUAUAUUUAUGAAUAGCUAUAAUGACAAUAUCCCAUUGUCUCCUCCAUUGUCUGAAAUUACUUGCUAAUCAUCCUUCACUAGAAUACACAACCAAAAAAAAUUAAAAAUUCAAAACACAGUAUACACAAAAUAUACUCAAUUUAUUGCUUUCAAACUAUAAAAAGCUACGGAUACUCGAGAUUAACUGUAUACAGAGCUACUCUAUACAACAAUUCAAAACCACUGUAAAUCAAAUUCGUAUACAAACCUUAAAAAAAAUCUAUCAAAAACUAAUUUUAAAUCAGCCUUAAGAGAUCCGGCUUCUUGUAAAUCCUUGGCGAUUCUAUACUAUUAAAACAAAAAAUUUCAAAGAUUGGAAAUUGAAUCUGACAUAUACAAAAGCUGUACAAGUAUAAAUUUGAUUUAAUAAAUAGAUUACCUCUUCGUAGAAUUCACGAAUUGAAACCCACCAGAGGUAUAAUAGGAGACGAUGAUGUUCCUAUGAGAUUAUCGUAUUUGAUUCUGGAGAUCGAUCGAUGGUCUUCGUUAUUUUCACUAAAAUUCCUUUUCUCUUUUUUUGGUAAUAAGACAACAAAUUGUUCACAGCAAAUAUCUGUCCAAAUAC
RNAcentral lists this long non-coding RNA (5049 nucleotides) under Arabidopsis lyrata. Its description in RNAcentral is "long non-coding RNA (ALYR_LNC001149)". The record is from RNAcentral. Lineage: Eukaryota; Viridiplantae; Streptophyta; Magnoliopsida; Brassicales; Brassicaceae.